This 434-nucleotide ribosomal RNA is filed under the name uncultured bacterium. Its description in RNAcentral is "partial 16S ribosomal RNA". It matches the Rfam family "Bacterial small subunit ribosomal RNA", at positions 29 to 507 of the family's 1533-position model. The record is from RNAcentral.
AGCGAACGCUGGCGGCAGGCCUAACACAUGCAAGUCGAACGAACCUUUCGGGGUUAGUGGCGGACGGGUGAGUAACACGUGGGAACGUGCCUUUAGGUUCGGAAUAACUCAGGGAAACUUGUGCUAAUACCGAAUGUGCCCUUCGGGGGAAAGAUUAAUCGCCUUUAGAGCGGCCCGCGUCUGAUUAGCUAGUUGGUUGAGGUAAUGGCUCACCAAGGCGACGAUCAGUAGCUGGUCUGAGAGGAUGAUCAGCCACAUUGGGACUGAGACACGGCCCAAACUCCCACGGGAGGCAGCAGUGGGGAAUCUUGGGCAAUGGGGGAAAGCCUGACGCAGCCAUGCCGCGUGAAUGAUGAAGGUCUUAGGAUUGUAAAAUUCUUUCACCGGGGACGAUAAUGACGGUACCCGGAGAAGAAGCCCCGGCUAACUUCGUG